Molecule: ribosomal RNA, 342 nt
Filed under: Triticum aestivum (bread wheat)
Lineage: Eukaryota; Viridiplantae; Streptophyta; Magnoliopsida; Poales; Poaceae
Description: partial small subunit ribosomal RNA
Source: RNAcentral
AUGUCUGCACCACCACCCACCCCGCCGCUGCCCACCUUGCCGCUGUCCACCACCGCCGCCCUCUCCACCGCGCCGCUGGCGUUUCCCGCCGCCGCGGUCGACAACUCCACCGUGCCGCUGGUACUUCCCGCCAUCGCGGUCAACAACUCCACCGCGCCGCUCGGCUCCUCCGCGGGGGCCUCCACCGGCCAGUCGCUGCCCGUCACCGCGCCACCUGCCGUCGUCUACUCCCCGGUAGAGAUCACCGGGGUCCUUAAUGACCUCGUCACCGCCGUCCAGGCAGGGGCGGAGCCCAUUGGGCCGACCCGUAUGCACAGGAAUACGGGUGAAAAAAAUCGCUAG